Molecule: ribosomal RNA, 497 nt
Filed under: uncultured bacterium
Lineage: Bacteria
Description: partial 16S ribosomal RNA
Rfam family: Bacterial small subunit ribosomal RNA
Source: RNAcentral
GAUGAACGCUGGCGGCGUGCCUAAUACAUGCAAGUCGAGCGAACGGACGAGAAGCUUGCUUCUCUGAUGUUAGCGGCGGACGGGUGAGUAACACGUGGAUAACCUACCUAUAAGACUGGGAUAACUUCGGGAAACCGGAGCUAAUACCGGAUAAUAUUUUGAACCGCAUGGUUCAAAAGUAAAAGACGGUCUUGCUGUCACUUAUAGAUGGAUCCGCGCUGCAUUAGCUAGUUGGUAAGGUAACGGCUUACCAAGGCAACGAUGCAUAGCCGACCUGAGAGGGUGAUCGGCCACACUAGAACUGAGACACGGUCCAGGCUCCUACGGGAGGCAGCAGUAGGGAAUCUUCCGCAAUGGGCGAAAGCCUGACGGAGCAACGCCGCGUGAGUGAUGAAGGUCUUCGGAUCGUAAAACUCUGUUAUUAGGGAAGAACAUAUGUGUAAGUAACUGUGCACAUCUUGACGGUACCUAAUCAGAAAGCCACGGCUAACUACGUG